Molecule: long non-coding RNA, 1231 nt
Filed under: Fukomys damarensis (Damara mole-rat)
Lineage: Eukaryota; Metazoa; Chordata; Mammalia; Rodentia; Bathyergidae
Description: lncRNA (ENSFDAG00000027261.1)
Source: RNAcentral
UCUAUGUUUAGUUGUAUUAUUAUUUUGACAUAGGCUUUUAGUAAGUUGGACAAGGUGGCAUGAACUUGCCAGCCUACUAGGUCAUCCUCCAGAGUAGCUGUGGUUACACUUCGUGAAACCGGAACCAGUAACGUUAUUGUUUGUAAAAGUUGAAGGACAUAACACAAGGUUGGUCUUCACUGUCGGGCUAUGAUGUGACACUCAGUGGCUCCCCACAGCCCAUCCCCAACUGGAACAAAGAAGCUAAGGCUUGUUCUCACCUGAGCUGGCGCUCUGGGUGACCGAUCUUCACUGCCUUUGUGCGUGUCAAGGCAUGCUUAUCGCUGUGGAUCUUUUCAAUGGUGACGACCCCUACAGUAACAAUCCCUUCACUCUAGUUUUUGUUGUUGUUGUUGUUUAAUCAUCUGUCUUUCUGCAGGCUGGUUUUUCCAUUUUCAUCUGAUGCCAACAGACACACCCAUAAGUCAGCCUGAGGCCUCCUUGUCUUGGUAGCCCGAAGCGUCCCUAGCAACCAAUGGCACCAGGAAGUGACGCCACAAUCUCGCGCUCAGAACCCGUAUCCCCUGGGUGCGGCCUCGUUUUGCCAUUGGUCAGUUGGAAGGAGGAGGAAGGCUUCGGCCAAUGGGAGGCUGCAGGCUCGCGAAACUGGCAGCAGCUGUUGCACCUGCAGCGUGUCUUUCCCCCAGUGAGUUCUACAGAGUUUCGCCCCCACUCGCUCACAUUGAGCACAGAUGUGUGAACAUAGGCGCGGGGUGCCUCUGCUCGCGCCUGGAGGAUCGGGGCCGUUCUGGAGACCAGGACUGGGCUGCGCCGCACGUGCAGGCAACUCCUACCUGUCCACUUUGGUACUCUGGGGGACUUGCUGGGGAGGCGCGGGCAAUUCAAGGAGAGCGAGAGUCAGCGCAUUCCAUGACAGGUGUGUGCGGAGGACCUGAGGACGCCCGGACUCCAUGUGCCCAAGGGCACCGCCCUCCCUCAAGCUGUGCUUUCUCUCUUUCUCGGCAGUUUCGAUUGCUGUCGCAGGUCGGAUUACCCGGUCGGAUUGGCAUCGCAGAUCGGGUUACCCGCUAAGGAUUUUCAGGGCUUGCUUUCUAUGGAAGAAUGAGCCCAGAAUUAUUUCCUUUUCCAAUACUGAGGAUGGAACUCAUGGCCUCACACAUGCCAGGAUGAGCUAGCUACAGCCCUACUACUGCUACAGAAGGAAACAGUGAGUGACACACAAAGAGGCAGC